AGGAUAAACUUUGAACCAACACUUCCACAUUUAAAAUAAUUGCUGAAUAUUCUGAACUCAUUGGAAAUUCUCUUAGAAGAAAUGCUCCUGAUGAGUUAACUUCAUAUACCUUGUAUCAACAUGAGCCAAGCCAAGCAGCACAGAUGCUACGCGAAUAGGACUUAUGGACUCACCAUCGGUCGGCAGAUGGCUACUCUUCUCAUCCAGGUGGAGUACUGGAGUGGACAGGAGAGCACUCGGAGGUCGAUUCAUCACAUCUGAACAGCCACAAUAAAUCAACUGCUGGUGUAUUGAUCAUCACUGAGUUGAUCCACCAUCUACUGUAGACAAGCCUACAGUAAGCUGCCAGGAGCUGAAGUGUCAGAGACCGCUGGAAAAGGGUGACCCUGAAGCAUGAGGGCCAGACAUUGACUUAAGACCAUAUUAAUCUUUGUUUUAGGAAUAAUACCCCUCCCCUACUGAGACUGGAGGUGGCCUCUGGUGACACUACUCCUGUAAUACAACAAUAGGUUAGUUCACAUUUAGCAACCCAUUUCAGACCUGGCCCCCAGGGAGCAGAGGUGUGACCUGCUUAGUUUCUUAUUGUUGAAGGUGACAGCUUGUUUCAAGGCUAAACCGGAAGCUUUGAUCUGCGCGUACUGCAUAUGCUGAUCGACUGGAAGUGAUCUGAUUAUGUUCAUGUAUGCCACAUUCUCAGCUGCAGAACAAUACCCCUUUUGGCUGUUGUUUUUAAAAACCUCUGUGAUCCCCCCCCCCUCCCCGUUUAAUGCCAGGAUUGUUAACCGCUGCAGUCACUUGCUACUGACAAAACCUAUUUCCUCUCUGCAAUGUUUUUGUACGCAAACUUUGUAAUCUUGGAACCGUGUCAGUCGAAAUGUGUUGAAUGUGCCAGGAAAUGCAGCAGGAGGCCUGAAUCUCAUUUACCAUGACUUUAUUAAUAAAAAUCUCUCAGAG
Non-coding RNA from Pelodiscus sinensis (Chinese soft-shelled turtle), 954 nucleotides. NCBI's taxonomy places the organism in Eukaryota, Metazoa, Chordata, Testudines, Trionychidae. The record is from RefSeq and is a predicted model, not a curated record.